This is a non-coding RNA of Triticum aestivum (bread wheat), 125 nucleotides long. Lineage: Eukaryota; Viridiplantae; Streptophyta; Magnoliopsida; Poales; Poaceae. The record is from Rfam.
GAAAUACUCACUCCGUCCGGAAAUACUUGUCGGAGAAAUGGAUAAAAAUGGAUGUAUCUAUGAUUAAAAUAUGUCUAGAUACAUCCAUUUCUUCAACAAGUAUUUUCAGACGAAGGGAGUAACAA